UACAGAGGUCUCAAGCGUUGUUCGGAUUCAUUGGGCGUAAAGGGUGCGUAGGCGGCGCGGUAAGUCGGGUGUGAAAUCUCGGAGCUUAACUCCGAAACUGCAUUCGAUACUGCCGUGCUUGAGGACUGGAGAGGAGACUGGAAUUUACGGUGUAGCGGUGAAGUGCGUAGAUAUCGUAAGGAAGACCAGUGGCGAAGGCGGCCUGCUGGGCAGUUGCUGACACUGAGGCGCGACAGCGUGGGGAGCAAACAGG
RNAcentral lists this ribosomal RNA (253 nucleotides) under uncultured bacterium. RNAcentral's name for it is "partial 16S ribosomal RNA". It matches the Rfam family "Bacterial small subunit ribosomal RNA", at positions 524 to 776 of the family's 1533-position model. The record is from RNAcentral.